UACGUAGGGUGCAAGCGUUGUCCGGAAUUAUUGGGCGUAAAGAGCUCGUAGGCGGUCUGUUACGUCUGCUGUGAAAACCCAGGGCUUAACCCUGGGCUUGCAGUGGAUACGGGCAGACUAGAGGCAGGUAGGGGAGAAUGGAAUUCCCGGUGUAGCGGUGAAAUGCGCAGAUAUCGGGAGGAACACCGGUGGCGAAGGCGGUUCUCUGGGCCUGACCUGACGCUGAGGAGCGAAAGCGUGGGGAGCAAACAGG
This 253-nucleotide ribosomal RNA is filed under the name uncultured bacterium. RNAcentral's name for it is "partial 16S ribosomal RNA". It matches the Rfam family "Bacterial small subunit ribosomal RNA", at positions 524 to 776 of the family's 1533-position model. The record is from RNAcentral.